CUUUCAAGAGAUUCGACCCGAUCACCCAUAUUUGAGAUGAUUUGGUCAAGUUUACCGUCCAUGUUAGUGGCCUCCCUCACCUUACUUUUACCUCGAGUUUUGCUUACUUCAGUUUGGGCAGCACCUCGACCCCUCUCCUCAAUCUCAAUAUCAGCAGUUUCUUGAGAUUCCGCCAUUAUAACGGCCUACAAACGAGGCUCUGAUACCACUUGUCACGGACCUAGUUUCGUUACACCUGAACAACUAGAACCGUGCGGCCUUAACUCUUGACAAUUCUCGCACCUCACGAGAAAACCUUAAGUCAGCCUUUCCACACUCACAAAUAAUUUAACCAAGGAGGCUAAAUUACACCCACGUUGAGAAGAGAAUUUUGAAGUAAGGGAUAUAUGAAAAACAAGUAAGGUCGGGAAACUUUCUUUGUAUAAAUGAAAGGGAAAACUUUACAAUCUCUCUAAUGAAUAAACUCACUCAACUCUACAUGAUUUACAAAUGAGAC
Molecule: long non-coding RNA, 496 nt
Filed under: Olea europaea subsp. europaea
Lineage: Eukaryota; Viridiplantae; Streptophyta; Magnoliopsida; Lamiales; Oleaceae
Source: RNAcentral